GGGGAAUUUUGCGCAAUGGGCGAAAGCCUGACGCAGCAACGCCGCGUGUGUGACGAAGGCCCUAGGGUUGUAAAGCACUGUGGGAGGGGAAGAAAAAACCGGAGUGUAUCCGGUCUUGACGGUACCCUGUUAGAAAGCACCGGCUAACUCCGUGCCAGCAGCCGCGGUAAUACGGAGGGUGCAAGCGUUGUUCGGAAUUAUUGGGCGUAAAGGGCGUGUAGGUGGCAUUUCAAGUCUGGUGUGAAAGCCCACGGCUCAACCGUGGAACUGCAUUGGAAACUGAAAAGCUCGAGUAUUGGAGGGGGUCGCGGAAUUCCCGGUGUAGAGGUGAAAUUCGUAGAUAUCGGGAGGAACACCAGUGGCGAAGGCGGCGACCUGGCCAAUUACUGACACUGAGACGCGAAAGCGUGGGUAGCAAAC
This 420-nucleotide ribosomal RNA is filed under the name uncultured bacterium. Its description in RNAcentral is "bacterial SSU rRNA". It matches the Rfam family "Bacterial small subunit ribosomal RNA", at positions 356 to 773 of the family's 1533-position model. The record is from RNAcentral.